Molecule: transfer RNA, 72 nt
Filed under: Proteiniphilum sp.
Lineage: Bacteria; Pseudomonadati; Bacteroidota; Bacteroidia; Bacteroidales; Dysgonomonadaceae
Description: tRNA-Arg
Rfam family: tRNA
About the family: Transfer RNA (tRNA) molecules are approximately 80 nucleotides in length. Their secondary structure includes four short double-helical elements and three loops (D, anti-codon, and T loops).
Source: RNAcentral
GGCCUGGUAGUUCAAUGGAUAGAAUAGGAGUUUCCUAAACUCUAGAUCCGAGUUCGAUUCUCGGCUGGGCUA